This 196-nucleotide ribosomal RNA is filed under the name uncultured Alteromonadales bacterium. RNAcentral's name for it is "partial 16S ribosomal RNA". It matches the Rfam family "Bacterial small subunit ribosomal RNA", at positions 335 to 523 of the family's 1533-position model. The record is from RNAcentral. Lineage: Bacteria; Pseudomonadati; Pseudomonadota; Gammaproteobacteria; Alteromonadales.
ACCCCUACGGGAGGCAGCAGUGGGGAAUAUUGCGCAAUGGAGGAAACUCUGACGCAGCCAUGCCGCGUGUGUGAAGAAGGCCUUCGGGUUGUAAAGCACUUUCAGCGGGGAGGAAAAGCUUGUAGGUAAUAUCUGCAAGCCGUGACGUUACCCGCAGAAGAAGCACCGGCUAAUUCAGUGCCAGCAGCCGCGGUAA